UGCCAGCCGCCGCGGUAAUACAGAGGUCCCAAGCGUUGUUCGGAUUCACUGGGCGUAAAGGGUGCGUAGGCGGCGUGGAAAGUUUGGUGUGAAAGCUCCGGGCUCAACCCGGAAAUUGCACUGAAAACUAUCAUGCUAGAGGAUUGGAUGGGAGACUGGAAUUCUUGGUGUAGCAGUGAAAUGCGUAGAUAUCAAGAGGAACACCAGUGGCGAAGGCGAGUCUCUGGACAAAUCCUGACGCUGAGGCACGAAGGCUAGGGGAGCAAACAGGAUUAGAUA
This 279-nucleotide ribosomal RNA is filed under the name uncultured bacterium. RNAcentral's name for it is "partial 16S ribosomal RNA". It matches the Rfam family "Bacterial small subunit ribosomal RNA", at positions 506 to 784 of the family's 1533-position model. The record is from RNAcentral.